CAUACCCUCGCUGCUUCUACCAGCUCCCGGGGGCCAGGAACUAGGCUGGGGUGGUAGAAACCGGCUUUAGAAGCAAUGCGGGUCAGCAGGAAACAAGUGAGUGAAGCAUAGCCAGUGACUUAUAAAACCAUAAGCAAAUGCAGCAUGCUGAAUGCAGCAAGUGUAAGUUAAAGAGAGAGAGGAGGUGAUAAGGGUGGGACAUAUGUGAAGACAGAAAGGCAGGCGACUUUGAUUGAAUGCAGCUUGCCCACCAGCUCCAGCACGGAAGAGAAGACAGCCCACAGGGUAGUGGUUGAGACCCUGGAACGCAGAAUCAAGAGAUUUGGUUUCAGGCCUGUCUGUGCCCCAUUUGUAAAAUGGGAAUGAUAAUAGCACCCACCUCCUAGGGCUGUCGUGGAGGCACUUAGCAGAGUGCCAGGCACACAGGGCAGGGGCAGCCAUGUGACGUCCCCCAGUCUGUGGGUGGUCCCACUUGCUUUCCUGACUCCAGCCUUCACUCUCCACCGGAUUACUGGAU
This is a non-coding RNA of Leptonychotes weddellii (Weddell seal), 517 nucleotides long. Lineage: Eukaryota; Metazoa; Chordata; Mammalia; Carnivora; Phocidae. The record is from RefSeq and is a predicted model, not a curated record.